This 397-nucleotide ribosomal RNA is filed under the name uncultured bacterium. RNAcentral's name for it is "partial 16S ribosomal RNA". It matches the Rfam family "Bacterial small subunit ribosomal RNA", at positions 523 to 918 of the family's 1533-position model. The record is from RNAcentral.
AUACGUAGGUGACAAGCGUUAUCCGGAUUUACUGGGCGUAAAGGGCGUGUAGGCGGUCUUGCAAGUCAGAAGUGAAAUUCCUGAGCUCAACUCGGGCGCUGCUUCUGAAACUGCAGGACUUGAGUGCUGGAGGGGAUAGCGGAAUUCCUAGUGGAGCGGUAAAAUGCGCAGAUAUUAGGAAGAACACCGGUGGCGAAGGCGGAUAUCUGGACAGUAACUGACGCUGAGGCGCGAAAGCGUGGGGAGCAAACAGGAUUAGAUACCCGGGUAGUCCACGCCGUAAACGAUGAAUACUAGGUGUAGGGGGUAUCGACCCCCUCUGUGCCGACGUUAACACAUUAAGUAUUCCACCUGGGGAGUACGGCCGCAAGGCUGAAACUCAAAGGAAUUGACGGGG